CUCUGCAUCAUCGGGUGGUCCUUGGUGAGCUCCCUUCAUGCCUGAUGAACAAGGGCCGUGGCCGAGGACACCAAGAAGCAAGGCCGGCUCCUGAGCUGACCAGCUGGCGUGGGAAGGCAGUGUGGGUUUGCGGUGACCAACCAGCCUGGUGCAGGCAGCCACCCGUGAGAAGCCAAUCCCACCACGGGGCCACAGCCCAGUGACCACCGAGUGACUCCUGGCGGUGAAGGCUUUAAGCCCCUCCCAACCCUGGACCUCAGCACCCCCAGUUCUGCCGCUCUGUGCAGCCGUAAGUUGGGGGCUGAGGGCAAAUGCAGCCCUGUGCCAGGGGAGGGGCGUGGUGGGAGGGCUCCUGUCUCCUCCAGCCUCCCCACGCCCCUUCCUCGGUGUGUCCACAGCGGGGCAGGGGGGGUCUGUGCAGGCGCACGCAGUGAGCAAACAAGAUAAGGGAUGGUGGCCACACUGCAGUCCCCUCAGCGCUAGCUACUGUGAUAAAACCCUCUUCUUCUAAGUAGUGUAGCCCUUCCACACGAGUCGGAAUGUGUGGGACCCGCCAUCCUGGCCGUGCCAUCAGAGCAGACCUGGCGCUGGGCGCUGGAUCAUGCUGCCCCUGUGUCCGGGGCUACUGAAAUUCCUGUCUUCUCGAGUUACCAUAUUUGACACCUGCCUUGGCCGGGUUCUCAGCAAGCCAAGCUGGUGCGGGAUCCUGCAUGGGGACGUCUCACUGUGGCCAGGUGAGCCAGUGGGGGGCAAGGGCCACCUUCCCGCUGGGCACCACUGAGCACCGCGGGCAGCUCACUGCUGGUGCCCCUGAGAACCCUGCCAAGAGGCCAAAGGAACCCCUGAGCCUGGGGACAGCCUCUCCCAGGGCAGGAUGGGAGAGGGAUAGAAAAGGCUGAACCCCCAGUUCCUGAUGGAUGAAGUUCUGCCCUAACCACCAGGUGAAGCUCUGGGGACUGGGAGUCUCAGCGCUGGGUGUGCCUUUGCUGAGCUGAUCUCCCCAUGGUGGGGCCGGUGGGGAGACGCAGGCUGUGGGAGGCACCCAGCCUCCUCCAACCCGGAGGGCAGGGCCGUCGCAGGGCCCAGGGAACAUCUGCCCAGAGUGCCCCACCCUCACCUUCUAGACCACAUUCCAGGGCCCCGGAUGGAGAUUUCUCUGCCCAAAGACCCCCAGCCGGCCUCUGGGGUCUGCAUGAGCCUCUCCUGGGUUCCUCCUCCAAGGGCACCACCCCAGGCCCGAGAGGCGGCCAAGGACAGCUAUUUGCUGAGGGCUGUAGUGGUGCCGGGAGGGUCCCGGCUGGGAAGAGGAGGCUGCAGGCUGGGGUUGAGGCAAGAGCUCCCGAUACCACUUUCCAAAACCCAACUCGGGGCGGCCCGUUUCCGAGUUCUAGCGGGCCUUCCAGGUCUUCGUGGAAAUACGGGUGUCCAGUAGGAGGACAGAAAAGAUCUCACGAACAGUUUGUUAGCUCAUUUAGGACUUUCAUGGAUUUAGACAUAGCCGGUGGUCUGCAGCCAUCGGGCCAUCAGACAGUGGCACCAACCUCAGCUCCACAUGGCCCUGAAGAGCAGCUUGAGAGGCUCUUCCUGGUCCGUAGCUGGGAGAGGUGGAGCCGCGCCCUCCCGGACUCGAUCCAGGGGCCUCUCCUCAGUGGGCACGAUGCCUGCAGCGAAUGCAGGGCACUGUCAGGGAGGCGCUCAAUAAACGUCCAGAAGGAGGAGGGACCUGCACACAUGGAGUGCCUGCUGUGUGCACACUGAUCCCUGCACACAUGGAGUGCCUGCUGUGUGCACACUGAUCCCUGCACACAUGGAGUGCCUGCUGGGUGCAACCCGCUCGUGUGUCAUCUCUUAUUCCUCAAAACAACCCUGAAAGGUAAGCAUUGUGAAUCUGAGGCAAUUCUCAUCCUCACUUUGUUGAUAAGAAAACGGGGAUGGAUUGAAUGAAAGCACUGCCCAGUCCCUCACUGCUCACAGGCAGGGGCUACUCUGGCCCUUGGCUUCCUGUCCCAGGGAUGGAGGCGAUGCUAGGCACUGUGGCCAGGGUGGGGUGCAGGGCUCGGGAUGAAGGCCUCCUGAAAACAGCACAAACGCGACUGUGGCUUCCACGAUGACCACUUCCAUACUCCAACUGCCUGCCUCAGAAAACCUCCACGAUGCAAUUAAACAUCUAUCAAUGCAAGGGGCAAUGAUGUGGAACAUAAGUGACUUUGUCUUUGAUCACUGGGAGAGCUCAUCAUUGCCUUUGAGCUUCAGGGGAGUGGCUGCAAACAGCGCGCCAGAUACUCCAGACAGAACCACUGAUGGAACAUUCCAGUGAAGACAAGAUGCUGGAAGAUCCGGGUUCCCUGAACUCCGCACACAACCAAGCUGUCUAGAAAUAGACCCAGCAGCGUGGGUGCGGAAGAGGAGAUGCUGGCUGGGCUGUGAGUCAUCUCCAGCUCUUGACUGCCAACACUUCUAGAAACAGAUAUUUUGGGUUCCCUUGGAAAGCAGUUUUAAGGAGUCUGACUUGUGACACUGUUGAUCCAGCGAGAAUCGAGGACCCAGAGGGAAGGCGAGCCUGGCUUCCCCGUCCGCCAGCGAGGGGAGAGGAUUCCCAGCCUCGCUGACGGGACCUGGGUGUGGGGGACAGCCCCACCGCUCUCGGGAACCUUGGGAGCAGGCUGGGUCCCGGUGACAACAAGAGCUGCUGGAAGACCCAGGGCCUUUGGCCGGGGACCUGUCUGCACGGCCACUCCAGGCUCAGGUUUGCUGACUCAUCACCGAAUUAGAAAAGGAGUUGAAAUGGGAUGAGAACCUCCCAGGGGCAGGGUUUUGCUUUCUGACCUCUGUGGGGUCACAGUUUAUCCAAGAUGAAGCAGAGGCCAAGUUACUGGGGAUAGGAUGGAGACCAGGGAAGAGGUCUCAGGGACAUGGGGUUUACUCCCAGGCCCUGUGGUCAGCAGGCCCAGCCUGAAAUCAGCCUGUAAACACCCGACCCUCAGCCGAUCUCGGCCCUGAUGACCUGACAGGACCUGAGGAGACCUACGAGGACUUGGGCAGGUGUCACUCCCGGCUGCUUACGUCGUGUAUGGAAGAGAGCAGAGGCCAGUAUACUGUGGUUGUGCCUGUGGUCCCAGCUGCUCGGUAGGCUGAGGAGGGAGGAUCACCUAAGCCCGGGAGGUCCAGGCUGCAGUGAGCUAUAAUCACACCUGGGCCACAGAGUGAGAUCCUGUCUCAAAAAUAAAAAAAAAUAAAAAGGAGCAGAAAUUGGAGCUUUGGGGCCUUGAAGAUGAGCAGCCAAAGCCACCUGGGCCUGAGGCCGGGGUCCCGCGGGGGCGGUGGGUCUGGCUGGGGUCCCACGGGGCGGUGGGUCUGAGAGCCGGGGUCCCGCGGGGCGGUGGGUCUGGCCGGGGUCCUGGGCUUCUGCUUGGGUCCUUACUGUGUAAACUCCUGCGGUUAGGAUGAGUCAUUGGUCUGUACCUGCUUUCCAGGCUCCUGUUCUUGUAACAAAAGAGCUUAUUCUGUUCAAAGCAGCCUAAAAACAGAGAGACCAGCCGAGAGGAGGUGGUGCCGGGCAGGAACUCCUCCGGAAGAUGCUCUCAGGCCCCCACCAGGACACCCUUUGCCUUGGAGCGGGCAGCAUCACCGUGUCGGCGGGAACCACAACCUGCCAGCCCCUGCCAACCUGGACACCGAGGCCAGCAGGCCUGGGACCGCCAAGGGAGGCCUGGACACACGCACCUUUGGGAUCCAUGCCUGCUCCCCCUUUAGGCACGUUAGUGUGAGGUUCUAGAAGCCCAUUUCUCAGCCUCCGAGCUGCCUCUCUGAAAUGACAUUUUCCCAUGUCCCUGACUGCAGCCUUCUCUCGUCCCAGAGCUCGCCGCUGAAGACAGCUCACCAUGGACAAGGGUUUAUCCAACAACCAGAGCUUGGGGCUGUGGUAACUCAGUGCCAGGUGGGGACAGGGUCCCUGCUGGUCACCAGGAGCCUGUGCCAGGAAAACUGGGACACUCCUGCGUCACUGCUGGCCCGGGUGGGACCACCUCUGUUCCCCACUGGCAAUGUCCAAGCCCGGCCAGGGCAUGGUGGGCUCCUCUGCUCUCAGCGCCCAGGCUGCCCUGGCCCCGGUGUCAGUUACGCAGCCACUGCAUCCUCCCUCUGUCCCAGUCAUGUCUACCCAGGUUGCACCCAUGCGUCAGCCCCCUACCCUCCUACAGUCCCCAGACAACACGGCUCCCUUCCUUCCACGUGUGGCCACUCUCCUACUUCUGGCACCACUACCUCCUCUAGCAGCCCCGCAGCCCCUCCCCUCCCUUCUCCUAUUGCUGGGGGCAGGGAAGCUCCAGGGGCAUCCCCAGCACCCAGCGAGGAGCCCGGCAGACAGUCACUGUUCAGAGAACAGCAGACACAUGCAUCAUUAAAGCAAGAAUAGAAAACA
Non-coding RNA from Macaca mulatta (Rhesus monkey), 4420 nucleotides. NCBI's taxonomy places the organism in Eukaryota, Metazoa, Chordata, Mammalia, Primates, Cercopithecidae. The record is from RefSeq and is a predicted model, not a curated record.